This 493-nucleotide ribosomal RNA is filed under the name uncultured bacterium. RNAcentral's name for it is "partial 16S ribosomal RNA". It matches the Rfam family "Bacterial small subunit ribosomal RNA", at positions 27 to 507 of the family's 1533-position model. The record is from RNAcentral.
GAGUGAACGCUGGCGGUAGGCCUAACACAUGCAAGUCGAACGGCAGCACAGUAAGAGCUUGCUCUUACGGGUGGCGAGUGGCGGACGGGUGAGGAAUACAUCGGAAUCUACUUUUUCGUGGGGGAUAACGUAGGGAAACUUACGCUAAUACCGCAUACGACCUACGGGUGAAAGCAGGGGAUCUUCGGACCUUGCGCGAUUGAAUGAGCCGAUGUCGGAUUAGCUAGUUGGCGGGGUAAAGGCCCACCAAGGCGACGAUCCGUAGCUGGUCUGAGAGGAUGAUCAGCCACACUGGAACUGAGACACGGCCCAGACUCCUACGGGAGGCAGCAGUGGGGAAUAUUGGACAAUGGGCGCAAGCCUGAUCCAGCCAUACCGCGUGGGUGAAGAAGGCCUUCGGGUUGUAAAGCCCUUUUGUUGGGAAAGAAAAGCAGCAGGUUAAUACCCCGCUGUUCUGACGGUACCCAAAGAAUAAGCACCGGCUAACUUCGUG